Gorilla gorilla gorilla (western lowland gorilla) is the source of this 1905-nucleotide long non-coding RNA. RefSeq lists it as uncharacterized. The transcript has 3 exons. The record is from RefSeq and is a predicted model, not a curated record. Lineage: Eukaryota; Metazoa; Chordata; Mammalia; Primates; Hominidae.
UUCUAGGGACCCUGGUUAAGGAGCAUACUCUGAACUCUGGGUAUUUUCCUUCCAGUAGUGAUAAUAAUAGUCUCCCUGAUGCACUGUAUUCUCUCAAAGGUUUUAAAUGCUUGCAUGCAGCCAUCUCUAGAACAUCAAAUGGUCUCUCUUCAACUGGAAUGACAACAGCUGAAAGAAAUGUUCAACCAUGAGGACACCAUACCUAUAAAUGAUGUGCUGAGACUGGAAACCCAAAAUGUUGGUAACUGAGAAGUGGCGCUAAGGCCCUAAGUUUUGGUCGCACACUCACCUAAGUGAGAACCUGACCAAAAAGGGGGAAUUUUUAAAACAAAACUCUGUGAGGCCAUUGUUUUGGACUAAGCUCAUGCACUCAUGCCCUGGGCCCCAGCAGACCAAACCAAACACAGAUGGAGUCAUUUGUGCUAAGACUUUAAGGAAACACAUGGAUUCUACAACAGACUAGCUUUUGUUUUUUUCUUCUGCAAAUCUCUAUAACAAACAUUUCUGACAACAUAGGUAUCCACCCCCUGAAGUUCCCAUUAAAUCUUUUAACCAAAUUCAUUUCCUCUCACCUAGAGACCAUCAAACUUCAGAUGAUGAUGCAACAAAGGUUUCAGCCAGUUCCAGGUGAAGACACCACCCUUGGACAUCAAGAAGCUACCCUGCCUCCACCAGAUAGAGCAGGGAGAGUUCUGUGAUCUCCGAUAGGGCCUUUGUAGACGCUAUCCCUUUGUGGAGAAGACUCUCCUCAACACCCUUCAAAUACUAUGAUCUCAUCAGGAAGGCCCUCCCUGACCACCUAUGUCUGAUGCAUGCUUGGGCUGGCUGGAUAACCAGGAAGCAAGAGAAGCACAGUUGUCCUCUCACUGAUGGAGAGAUACUGCAGAGAGCUGGUCCUGGGAGAUCCAGAGCCUACCGUGAACUCCUCUGCUACAGACCUCGCUCCAGGACUCCAUCCAUACCACACCCAUCCACACACAGCCUGGGAGUAUUCUCUCUUGAAUAACUCAGGCUCUCUGAAGUCUUAGGUCCAGGGUGUUGGACUGAUAGGAACGUAUCCCAGGGGACUUUCUAACAGACAGUCGGAAAGUGGGACCUGGCAUUAGAUUGAAGUGGCAGCCUCUCUCAGACGGGUGGGAGGCUGACUUCAAGACAGGGGAGCAAGGAUAGAAACUGGUGCUUCUCCUAGAUAAUGUUUUCCUUGUUAUGCUGUUGUUUUCCUUUGGACUGUGGGAAUAGUCUUACUUAGUACUCAAUGUAAAAUAUUUUCUCUCAUCUUAUAAAUCCUGUCAGCUACCCCCAGUCCUCUAACCUAGUCUGUUAUAUGCAUAUCAUCUUGUGGGGAAUUAAGAGACAGGACAAGAAAGACAUGUGACUUUUUGCACUUCCCUCUUCCACCAAGUUUAUUACAAUAGCAGCAGCAGCAGCUUUCCAUUGAGGAGAAGGGUGGCUGGAUUCAGACUGGAGCAGGAAAGUAGGUCCCAGUGGGGAUUUUGAGCUGUGCGGGGGAUGCUCAGCUUGGAGCAACUGCAGUUACAAGGGCAGUGGCCGAGAGGUGAGACCCCUGUCCUCUGCAAAUACAUAAGCACAAUAUAUGCGAUCCUUCCUCUGCCAGUUUCCCCGCUGAUCAUCAGCAUCACCUGAAGUCCUUGUUAAAAAUAUCCAGAAGUACUCUGGCUCCACUCCUGAAGGUCUGGGGUGUGGCGUGGGAUUCUCUAUAUUGUCAAAGCACCCAGAUCGUUCUUCUCAUCUGGGAAAUGUGGGACUCACUGUCGCAGAAGGAGGUGAUCCUUGCAGGGCUGGGGAGAGGCUGACAUUUGGGUCACACAUUACUGACCCUGCUUCAGACAGAACGUACAGAAAAGGAGUGAUAUAUUUAUAUGUAAAUAUAUGUCUAUACAUCUC